AAGACUAUAGACCUGCGGAGUACCUGCGGAAGGAUCAUUACUGAGUUUUGAAGUGGGCUUGAUGCUGGCAUCUUUUUGAUGCAUGUGCUCAGCCCCGCUCUCAAAUCCACUCAACACCUGUGCACUUUCAAAGUUGUAGUCCUCCGUAAUGGGAGUCGCAGGUCUUUUUUGACUUGCUGGGACUGCGCUUUGCCAUUUAUCACAAACGAUAUUCAUUGUUUUGUAGAAUGUCUAGCCUCA
RNAcentral lists this unclassified non-coding RNA (240 nucleotides) under soil metagenome. RNAcentral's name for it is "partial contains 5.8S ribosomal RNA, internal transcribed spacer 2, and large subunit ribosomal RNA". The record is from RNAcentral.